RNAcentral lists this ribosomal RNA (496 nucleotides) under uncultured bacterium. Its description in RNAcentral is "partial 16S ribosomal RNA". It matches the Rfam family "Bacterial small subunit ribosomal RNA", at positions 29 to 507 of the family's 1533-position model. The record is from RNAcentral.
AUGAACGCUGGCGGCGUGCCUAAUACAUGCAAGUCGAGCGAACGGACGAGAAGCUUGCUUCUCUGAUGUUAGCGGCGGACGGGUGAGUAACACGUGGAUAACCUACCUAUAAGACUGGGAUAACUUCGGGAAACCGGAGCUAAUACCGGAUGAUAUUUUGAACCGCAUGGUUCAAAAGUGAAAGACGGUCUUGCUGUCACUUAUAGAUGGAUCCGCGCUGCAUUAGCUAGUUGGUAAGGUAACGGCUUACCAAGGCAACGAUGCAUAGCCGACCUGAGAGGGUGAUCGGCCACACUGGAACUGAGACACGGUCCAGACUCUUACGGGAGGCAGCAGUAGGGAAUCUUCCGCAAUGGGCGAAAGCCUGACGGAGCAACGCCGCGUGAGUGAUGAAGGUCUUCGGAUCGUAAAACUCUGUUAUUAGGGAAGAACAUAUGUGUAAGUAACUGUGCACAUCUUGACGGUACCUAAUCAGAAAGCCACGGCUAACUACGUG